Molecule: small RNA, 285 nt
Filed under: chicken gut metagenome
Description: 5' ureB small RNA
Rfam family: 5' ureB small RNA
Source: RNAcentral
CUGCUGGGGGGAAAUGAAGUGGAUGUGGGUAUCCAGGCCGCCGGCGGUGAGGAUCAGUCCCUCCCCGGCCAGGGCCUCCGUGGAGGCGCCCACGGUCAUUCCCGGGGUCACGCCGUCCAUGACAGAGGGGUUGCCGGCCUUGCCGAUGCCGGCGAUUUUCCCGUCCUUGACUCCGAUGUCCGCCUUAUAAAUUCCUGUAUAGUCCAGGACCAGGGCGUUGGUGAUCACCAGAUCCAGAUCCCCGUCGGCGCUGGCGGUCUUUACCGACUGGCCCAUGCCGUCCCG